GGGCCUAUAGCUCAGUUGGUUAGAGCAGCGGACUCAUAAUCCGUUGGUCCCAGGUUCAAGUCCUGGUGGGCCCA
Non-coding RNA from Gammaproteobacteria bacterium, 74 nucleotides. NCBI's taxonomy places the organism in Bacteria, Pseudomonadati, Pseudomonadota, Gammaproteobacteria. The record is from Rfam.